AGGUGCAACCUCAGCAUUAGGAUUAGGAGAAAAGGCAGUUGUAGAACCAUCCACGGAUUCUGAGAGUACCUCCAAGAUUCAACUACCGAACUAUGUUGAUCAGUUAUCUGGAGCUGCAGGUCAAGGAGAAAAAAAUACAUUAAAUGGACAAAUAGAAAAAGAAGGAAGAGAAGAGUGUUUGAAAUGAGAUGGGUAUGAAGUGAGCUUCUUCCUGCACCAAAGCUUGUCCGGGAAGCACAGCAGAAUGUUCCACCCCCGCCCCCCUGAUCAUUAGGAAGGCGGUGAGGACUGCGGUACCUGAUCACGCAGAGCUGGGUGUACCUGCCGUGGAUGAGCAUAGGCAUGUGUGGUCAGCUGUAAAUGUGUGGACCUUCGUGUCAUGCAGCGUGUUGCUGCCAUACAGGAUGGUGUCUCAUAGGCCAACAGAAGAGUGGGAAAGAGGAAGAGAGCAGGGUGCGUUCCGGGGAGGUCAGGGGAGCUGGAGCCUGGUAAAGAGUCCGUUGGAAAGUCUGCAACUUCUGAUGCAGCUUUUGGGGAAGUGUUACAGUGAGGCGCGUGAGGCUGGAUUUCAGAAGGAUCAAUUAAGUCCAAGUGCUGUAGAAGCAGACUCGGUAUAGACCAGAGUUUCUCAAAUUUUACUCACUCACCUGAGGACCCACUGAAAACUGCACACUCUGAGCAGUGGGUCUGCGUUUCUAACAAGCUCAGGUGAUGCCCUUGUUGCCGGUCUUCAGACCACGCUCAGAAGGUAGACUUGUGUUUAGAGGAAACAAAAGAAA
This is a non-coding RNA of Vicugna pacos (alpaca), 779 nucleotides long. Lineage: Eukaryota; Metazoa; Chordata; Mammalia; Artiodactyla; Camelidae. The record is from RefSeq and is a predicted model, not a curated record.